CAUAUAUAUCUUGAAUCACCGUUGAUUUUCUCUAUAAAAACGUUGGAUCUGCGGAUUUUUGGGCAUGCCCUACUGUUUGUGAUUAUUGACAUAUUUUAAUUCCUGAUUCUUUUGUUAACUUGGUUAUUUUAAGAAUCUGACUUCGACUCUGAUGCUAUAUUUACAAGUAGUUUAGCAUCGAAUGCUAGAAAAUAAUAUAUGAAAAGUAUGUUAAUCAGAAGAAUGGAAGGGGGGUAAAGCUUAUGAGGGAUACCUCAAUAAGCAUAGAGUUGCAAACUAGUAACUGGAUACUUUUCAUCUUGGUUAAGCUUCCAGAUUUCAAUACAUGGCAGAUGGAUUUCACAAGUAAGCCGCUUCUAACUGAAGUCAUCUUCUGGUAAUCACAGGAAUGAAAGUGCAUGGUAGUGACCUCAGAGUAACUGCUUUAGAUACUGAGAUGAUGGGUAAAGUUAAUCGAGAGAGACUGGCAGAAUGAAUACCUUGGCGAGCUGCAGCGGAAAGAAGAUACAAACGAUCGCUAUGUAGCUGCUCUAAGAGGCGAGACAGAAACCAUAUGUAAGGAUUCAGUCAAUACCCAAGCGGAAUAACAUUGAAGCGGACAAGGAGCUGAAACUUGAUAACGAUCAAGGGAAGCAGAUUAGUUGAUGGUUCUUGCUGAUGUGAUCCUUUCCAUAUUUGGUAUAUUAAUGUCAUAGCAGCACAAGAAAUGCAAAAUGGUCCCUUUUCGUCUUGUUACGCAACAGCUUGUAGCCUGUGUUUUAUUUGGAAUAUUUCUGCUUUGGUAUGGGUUUUUUCAUACCCACUGGGAAUGACAACAAUGUAUUUCAUAUUAUAAUGUUUCUGAUUUGCUUUUGGUUUU
Long non-coding RNA from Populus euphratica (Euphrates poplar), 859 nucleotides. RefSeq lists it as uncharacterized. The transcript is spliced from 2 exons. NCBI's taxonomy places the organism in Eukaryota, Viridiplantae, Streptophyta, Magnoliopsida, Malpighiales, Salicaceae. The record is from RefSeq and is a predicted model, not a curated record.